AUGCUCCUAUGUUGUGUUAAGUGUUGGCAGAUAUCUGGACCCCGCCCUAGCGGUCCGGAACUUGAACCCCGGAACUUCCCCCUCCCCAUAAGAAGUCCGGGGUUUUUUUUGCCUGCGA
Molecule: small RNA, 118 nt
Filed under: Pseudomonas mandelii
Lineage: Bacteria; Pseudomonadati; Pseudomonadota; Gammaproteobacteria; Pseudomonadales; Pseudomonadaceae
Also listed under: 2 other names
Description: Pseudomon-1 RNA
Rfam family: Pseudomon-1/ErsA RNA
About the family: Functions to regulate the AlgC enzyme.
Source: RNAcentral